This 378-nucleotide ribosomal RNA is filed under the name Frankia sp. Its description in RNAcentral is "bacterial SSU rRNA". It matches the Rfam family "Bacterial small subunit ribosomal RNA", at positions 28 to 416 of the family's 1533-position model. The record is from RNAcentral. Lineage: Bacteria; Bacillati; Actinomycetota; Actinomycetes; Frankiales; Frankiaceae.
GACGAACGCUGGCGGCGUGCUUAACACAUGCAAGUCGAGCGAGGGGCUUCGGCUCCUAGCGGCGAACGGGUGAGUAACACGUGGGCAACCUGCCCCGAGCUCUGGAAUAACUUCGGGAAACCGGGGCUAAUGCCGGAUAUGACACUACCGGGCAUCUGGUGGUGUGGAAAGAUUUACCGGCUCGGGAUGGGCCCGCGGCCUAUCAGCUUGUUGGUGGGGUGAUGGCCUACCAAGGCGACGACGGGUAGCCGGCCUGAGAGGGCGACCGGCCACACUGGGACUGAGACACGGCCCAGACUCCUACGGGAGGCAGCAGUGGGGAAUAUUGCGCAAUGGGCGAAAGCCUGACGCAGCGACGCCGCGUGGGGGAUGACGGCC